This 468-nucleotide ribosomal RNA is filed under the name uncultured bacterium. RNAcentral describes it as "partial 16S ribosomal RNA". It matches the Rfam family "Bacterial small subunit ribosomal RNA", at positions 28 to 507 of the family's 1533-position model. The record is from RNAcentral.
GACGAACGCUGGCGGCGUGCUUAACACAUGCAAGUCGAACGGAAAGGCCCUGCUUUUGUGGGGUGCUCGAGUGGCGAAAGGGUGAGUAACACGUGAGUAACCUGCCCUUGACUUUGGGAUAACUUCAGGAAACUGGGGCUAAUACCGGAUAGGAGCUCCUGCUGCAUGGGGGGGGUGGGAAAGUUUCGGCGGUUGGGGAUGGACUCGCGGCUUAUCAGCUUGUUGGUGGGGUAGUGGCUUACCAAGGCUUUGACGGGUAGCCGGCCUGAGAGGGUGACCGGCCACAUUGGGACUGAGAUACGGCCCAGACUCCUACGGGAGGCAGCAGUGGGGAAUAUUGCACAAUGGGCGGAAGCCUGAUGCAGCAACGCCGCGUGCGGGAUGACGGCCUUCGGGUUGUAAACCGCUUUCGCCUGUGACGAAGCGUGAGUGACGGUAAUGGGUAAAGAAGCACCGGCUAACUACGUG